Molecule: ribosomal RNA, 830 nt
Filed under: Escherichia coli
Lineage: Bacteria; Pseudomonadati; Pseudomonadota; Gammaproteobacteria; Enterobacterales; Enterobacteriaceae
Description: partial 23S ribosomal RNA
Rfam family: Bacterial large subunit ribosomal RNA
Source: RNAcentral
CGGGACACGUGGUAUCCUGUCUGAAUAUGGGGGGACCAUCCUCCAAGGCUAAAUACUCCUGACUGACCGAUAGUGAACCAGUACCGUGAGGGAAAGGCGAAAAGAACCCCGGCGAGGGGAGUGAAAAAGAACCUGAAACCGUGUACGUACAAGCAGUGGGAGCCUCUUUAUGGGGUGACUGCGUACCUUUUGUAUAAUGGGUCAGCGACUUAUAUUCUGUAGCAAGGUUAACCGAAUAGGGGAGCCGAAGGGAAACCGAGUCUUAACUGGGCGUUAAGUUGCAGGGUAUAGACCCGAAACCCGGUGAUCUAGCCAUGGGCAGGUUGAAGGUUGGGUAACACUAACUGGAGGACCGAACCGACUAAUGUUGAAAAAUUAGCGGAUGACUUGUGGCUGGGGGUGAAAGGCCAAUCAAACCGGGAGAUAGCUGGUUCUCCCCGAAAGCUAUUUAGGUAGCGCCUCGUGAAUUCAUCUCCGGGGGUAGAGCACUGUUUCGGCAAGGGGGUCAUCCCGACUUACCAACCCGAUGCAAACUGCGAAUACCGGAGAAUGUUAUCACGGGAGACACACGGCGGGUGCUAACGUCCGUCGUGAAGAGGGAAACAACCCAGACCGCCAGCUAAGGUCCCAAAGUCAUGGUUAAGUGGGAAACGAUGUGGGAAGGCCCAGACAGCCAGGAUGUUGGCUUAGAAGCAGCCAUCAUUUAAAGAAAGCGUAAUAGCUCACUGGUCGAGUCGGCCUGCGCGGAAGAUGUAACGGGGCUAAACCAUGCACCGAAGCUGCGGCAGCGACACUGUGUGUUGUUGGGUAGGGGAGCGUUCUGUAAGCCU